RNAcentral lists this ribosomal RNA (2934 nucleotides) under Acinetobacter baumannii. Its description in RNAcentral is "bacterial LSU rRNA". It matches the Rfam family "Bacterial large subunit ribosomal RNA". Lineage: Bacteria; Pseudomonadati; Pseudomonadota; Gammaproteobacteria; Moraxellales; Moraxellaceae. The record is from RNAcentral.
GUUGUAUAGUCAAGUAAUUAAGUGCAUGUGGUGGAUGCCUUGGCAGUCAGAGGCGAUGAAAGACGUGAUAGCCUGCGAAAAGCUCCGGGGAGGCGGCAAAUAUCCUUUGAUCCGGAGAUGUCUGAAUGGGGGAACCCACCUACUUUAAGGUAGGUAUUGCAACAUGAAUACAUAGUGUUGCAAGGCGAACGAGGGGAAGUGAAACAUCUCAGUACCCUUAGGAAAAGAAAUCAAUUGAGAUUCCCUCAGUAGCGGCGAGCGAACGGGGAUCAGCCCAUUAAGUUAUGUGUGUUUUAGUGGAACGCUCUGGGAAGUGCGAACGUAGAGGGUGAUAUUCCCGUACACGAAAGGGCACACAUAAUGAUGACGAGUAGGGCGAGGCACGUGAAACCUUGUCUGAAUAUGGGGGGACCAUCCUCCAAGGCUAAAUACUCCUGACUGACCGAUAGUGAACCAGUACCGUGAGGGAAAGGCGAAAAGAACCCCUGUGAGGGGAGUGAAAUAGAUCCUGAAACCGCAUGCAUACAAGCAGUGGGAGCACCUUCGUGGUGUGACUGCGUACCUUUUGUAUAAUGGGUCAGCGACUUAUAUUCAGUAGCAAGGUUAACCGUAUAGGGGAGCCGUAGAGAAAUCGAGUCUUAAUAGGGCGUUUAGUUGCUGGGUAUAGACCCGAAACCAGGCGAUCUAUCCAUGAGCAGGUUGAAGGUUGGGUAACACUAACUGGAGGACCGAACCCACUGUCGUUGAAAAGCCAGGGGAUGACUUGUGGAUAGGGGUGAAAGGCUAAUCAAGCCUGGUGAUAGCUGGUUCUCCCCGAAAGCUAUUUAGGUAGCGCCUCGGACGAAUACCAUAGGGGGUAGAGCACUGUUUCGGCUAGGGGGUCAUCCCGACUUACCAAACCGAUGCAAACUCCGAAUACCUAUGAGUACUAUCCGGGAGACAGACUGCGGGUGCUAACGUCCGUAGUCAAGAGGAAAACAAUCCAGACCGCCAGCUAAGGCCCCAAAAUCAUAGUUAAGUGGGAAACGAUGUGGGAAGGCAUAGACAGCUAGGAGGUUGGCUUANNNNNNNNGAAGCAGCCACCCUUUAAAGAAAGCGUAAUAGCUCACUAGUCGAGUCGGCCUGCGCGGAAGAUGUAACGGGGCUAAAACUAUGUGCCGAAGCUGCGGAUGUAUACUUUGUAUACGUGGUAGGGGAGCGUUCUGUAAGCCGAUGAAGGUGUGUUGAGAAGCNNNNNNNNAUGCUGGAGGUAUCAGAAGUGCGAAUGCUGACGUGAGUAACGACAAAACGGGUGAAAAACCCGUUCGCCGAAAGACCAAGGGUUCCAGUCCAACGUUAAUCGGGGCUGGGUGAGUCGACCCCUAAGGCGAGGCCGAAAGGCGUAGUCGAUGGGAAAAUGGUUAAUAUUCCAUUACUUCUGUGUAAUGCGAUGAGAGGACGGAGAAGGCUAAAUCAGCCUGGCGUUGGUUGUCCAGGUGAAAGGAUGUAGGCAUGUAUCUUAGGCAAAUCCGGGGUACUCUAUGCUGAGAUCUGAUAGCAAGCUGUACUUGUACAGCGAAGUGGUUGAUGCCAUGCUUCCAGGAAAAGUCUCUAAGCUUCAGUUACACAGGAAUCGUACCCGAAACCGACACAGGUGGUCAGGUCGAGUAGACCAAGGCGCUUGAGAGAACUCUGCUGAAGGAACUAGGCAAAAUGGUACCGUAACUUCGGGAGAAGGUACGCUGUUGUUGGUGAUGGAACUCGCUUCCUGAGCUGACGACAGCCGCAGAAACCAGGCCGCUGCAACUGUUUAUUAAAAACAUAGCACUCUGCAAACACGAAAGUGGACGUAUAGGGUGUGAUGCCUGCCCGGUGCUGGAAGGUUAAUUGAUGGGGUUAGCGUAAGCGAAGCUCUUGAUCGAAGCCCCAGUAAACGGCGGCCGUAACUAUAACGGUCCUAAGGUAGCGAAAUUCCUUGUCGGGUAAGUUCCGACCUGCACGAAUGGCAUAAUGAUGGCGGCGCUGUCUCCAGCAGAGGCUCAGUGAAAUCGAAAUCGCUGUGAAGAUGCAGUGUACCCGCGGCUAGACGGAAAGACCCCGUGAACCUUUACUGCAGCUUGACACUGAACUUUGACCUUACUUGUGUAGGAUAGGUGGGAGGCUUUGAAGCUGGAACGCUAGUUCCAGUGGAGCCGUCCUUGAAAUACCACCCUGGUAAUGUUGAGGUUCUAACUCUGUCCCGUGAUCCGGGACGAGGACCGUGUCUGGUGGGUAGUUUGACUGGGGCGGUCUCCUCCUAAAGAGUAACGGAGGAGUACGAAGGUGCGCUCAGCGUGGUCGGAAAUCACGCGUAGAGUAUAAAGGCAAAAGCGCGCUUAACUGCGAGACCCACAAGUCGAGCAGGUACGAAAGUAGGUCUUAGUGAUCCGGUGGUUCUGUAUGGAAGGGCCAUCGCUCAACGGAUAAAAGGUACUCUGGGGAUAACAGGCUGAUACCGCCCAAGAGUUCAUAUCGACGGCGGUGUUUGGCACCUCGAUGUCGGCUCAUCUCAUCCUGGGGCUGAAGCAGGUCCCAAGGGUAUGGCUGUUCGCCAUUUAAAGAGGUACGCGAGCUGGGUUUAGAACGUCGUGAGACAGUUCGGUCCCUAUCUACCGUGGGCGCUGGAAAUUUGAGAGGAUCUGCUCCUAGUACGAGAGGACCAGAGUGGACGAACCUCUGGUGUACCGGUUGUGACGCCAGUCGCAUCGCCGGGUAGCUAUGUUCGGAAGGGAUAACCGCUGAAAGCAUCUAAGCGGGAAGCCUACCUCAAGAUAAGAUUUCCCUAGGACUUUAUGUCCUCUAAAGAGCCGUUCGAGACUAGGACGUUGAUAGGUUGGAUGUGGAAGCAUAGUGAUAUGUGAAGCUGACCAAUACUAAUUGCUCGUGAGGCUUGACUAUACAACACCCAAGCAGUUG